UGGCAGCAGCCGCGGUAAUACGGAGGGGGUUAGCGUUGUUCGGAAUUACUGGGCGUAAAGCGCGCGUAGGCGGACUAGUCAGUCAGAGGUGAAAUCCCAGGGCUCAACCCUGGAACUGCCUUUGAUACUGCUAGUCUUGAGUUCGAGAGAGGUAAGUGGAAUUCCGAGUGUAGAGGUGAAAUUCGUAGAUAUUCGGAGGAACACCAGUGGCGAAGGCGACUUACUGGGAUUGUUCUGACGCUGAGGCGCGAAAGCGUGGGGAGCGAACAGGAUUAGAUA
RNAcentral lists this ribosomal RNA (279 nucleotides) under uncultured bacterium. RNAcentral's name for it is "partial 16S ribosomal RNA". It matches the Rfam family "Bacterial small subunit ribosomal RNA", at positions 506 to 784 of the family's 1533-position model. The record is from RNAcentral.